Molecule: ribosomal RNA, 386 nt
Filed under: uncultured bacterium
Lineage: Bacteria
Description: bacterial SSU rRNA
Rfam family: Bacterial small subunit ribosomal RNA
Source: RNAcentral
AUUGAACGCUGGCGGAAUGCUUUACACAUGCAAGUCGAACGGCAGCACGGGGCAACCUGGUGGCGAGUGGCGAACGGGUGAGUAAUACAUCGGAACGUGCCCAAUCGUGGGGGAUAACGUAGCGAAGUUACGCUAAUACCGCAUACGAUCUACGGAUGAAAGCGGGGGAUCGCAAGACCUCGCGCGAGUGGAGCGGCCGAUGUCAGAUUAGGUAGUUGGUGGGGUAAAGGCUCACCAAGCCAACGAUCUGUAGCUGGUCUGAGAGGACGACCAGCCACACUGGAACUGAGACACGGUCCAGACUCCUACGGGAGGCAGCAGUGGGGAAUUUUGGACAAUGGGCGCAAGCCUGAUCCAGCCAUUCCGCGUGCAGGAUGAAGGCCUUC